UAGGGAAUCUUCGGCAAUGGACGGAAGUCUGACCGAGCAACGCCGCGUGAGUGAAGAAGGUUUUCGGAUCGUAAAGCUCUGUUGUAAGAGAAGAACGAGUGUGAGAGUGGAAAGUUCACACUGUGACGGUAUCUUACCAGAAAGGGACGGCUAACUACGUGCCAGCAGCCGCGGUAAUACGUAGGUCCCGAGCGUUGUCCGGAUUUAUUGGGCGUAAAGCGAGCGCAGGCGGUUAGAUAAGUCUGAAGUUAAAGGCUGUGGCUUAACCAUAGUACGCUUUGGAAACUGUUUAACUUGAGUGCAAGAGGGGAGAGUGGAAUUCCAUGUGUAGCGGUGAAAUGCGUAGAUAUAUGGAGGAACACCGGUGGCGAAAGCGGCUCUCUGGCUUGUAACUGACGCUGAGGCGCGAAAGCGUGGGGAGCAAACAGGAUUAGAUACCCUGGUAGUCCACGCCGUAAACGAUGAGUGCUAGGUGUUAGACCCUUUCCGGGGUUUAGUGCCGCAGCUAACGCAUUAAGCACUCCGCCUGGGGAGUACGACCGCAAGGUUG
RNAcentral lists this ribosomal RNA (550 nucleotides) under uncultured bacterium. Its description in RNAcentral is "bacterial SSU rRNA". It matches the Rfam family "Bacterial small subunit ribosomal RNA", at positions 355 to 896 of the family's 1533-position model. The record is from RNAcentral.